AGGGAUCAUUACAGAGUUGCAAAACUCCCACCAACCAUCGCGAAUCUUACCCGUACGGUUGCCUCGGCGCUGGCGGUCCGGAAGGCCCUCGGGCCCCCCGGAUCCUCGGGUCUCCCGCUCGCGGGAGGCUGCCCGCCGGAGUGCCGAAACCAAACUCUUGAUAUUUUAUGUCUCUCUGAGUAAACUUUUAAAUAAGUCAAAACUUUCCACAACGGAUCUCUUGGUUCUGGCAUCGAUGAAGAACGCAGCGAAAUGCGAUAAGUAAUGUGAAUUGCAGAAUUCAGUGAAUCAUCGAAUCUUUGAACGCACAUUGCGCUCGCCAGUAUUCUGGCGAGCAUGCCUGUUCGAGCGUCAUUUCAACCAUCAAGCUCUGCUUGCGUUGGGGAUCCGCGGCUGCCCGCGGUCCCUCAAAAACAGUGGCGGGCUCGCUAGUCACACCGAGCGUAGUAACUCUACAUCGCUAUGGUCGUGCGGCGGGUUCUUGCCGUAGAACCCCCCAAUUUCUAAGGUUGACCUCGGAUCAGGUAGGAAUACCCGCUGAACUUAA
This 547-nucleotide ribosomal RNA is filed under the name uncultured fungus. RNAcentral describes it as "eukaryotic LSU rRNA". The stretch from base 201 to 354 matches the Rfam family "5.8S ribosomal RNA". Lineage: Eukaryota; Fungi. The record is from RNAcentral.